CUUCUACCCUCUGUCCUCACCACACUUAUGAGACCUCCGGCCUCAUACCUUCAAAAGAUCAGGGAUCCAGUCCGAUGAUCUGCGUUCUGACUCAGGCCUCAUUCGCCUUCAGCGCAACGCGGCAAUUGUGCGUCUGCAGGGUGCAAGAGGAGCAUAAACGUGCGGUGUGCUUGCUGACUAACUACAACGUCUGUAGCCCCCCAGCCACACUUGCCACAAGCCCCCAGCACAGCACGACAUGGUGGGGUAGUCGAGGGGGGUGGAGGGCGUGGGGUGUGGCUGAGAUUGGUCGAGGGUGGGCUUCUAUCGCGGUGGAAAACCUGACUCACAAACUGCAAUAAGGGUCCUCUUACAUUGUUGUGUUUUUGUAUUUUGUUGGACUGGGAACACAAACAGAUUUGCACCAAAGCCCUCCCCCCACUCCUUCCACAAUGUGGUUAAGCCAGUGAAUCAGACGUGUGAAUGUAGAGUUUUAACACUUCUGACUGCUGGCAUGGGAGCUUCUGAUGAAGCACGGGGGAUGUCUCCAACCGAGGACAGGCGCUUGUCGGGGGGAGGAGGCCUUAAUUAAAUAUAAAUGUUUGAUGGCUGGGGACUGGCCUCACAGUGAGCCCCUCCAGUACACGUUGUGGGUCCAGGCCCUCUGUGUGUACUCUUUGCUGAGGGUGUCCCCCCGGGGACCUGCAAAAGAGCAAACCCAUCUCCGGCAUGGAGGAUUUCCCAGAAUGCUGUUCACCACCAGCCCAUAUGGUUGUUCUCAAAUGAGACAAAGACCGGAAUAAACAAACUGAUAAUAAACUCUAACAGCAAACAGGUACAUCUCACGGGACUGUGAUUCCGUUUGAUGUGAGACUUUGACACUUUGAAGCAGAUUUUUUUUUUUUUUUUAACAUUUAUAAAAAACUUUUCUUCAGGCAGUAUGUAAUCAGUAUUUAGAUGUCAUUAUGUCAGCAUGUGGUGCUUUGUGUGUGUAGGAAAGAGACAGAUGACAUGACGAGAGGUAUUCUUCUAUGUGCACAGGGGGCAUCGAAAGGCAGCAAAGGAAGAUUCCUGAAACUCCUUAGUCUGUAUAAAUCGUCAGUAUAAAAUUUGUCCCAGCUAAAAACUGAAGAGACCGCCCAGUCAAACUAAUACACAUAAAGGGGCCUAAUCUAAAGGUUACUUGGGAGGCCCUCCUGCUAAGAACACUGAUGAUUGUCACACAUUACAGGUACUUCAAGAGAACAGAGCAACUGGCAACACUGCCUAUAGCUGGAACUGGCCCUACCCAGGGAAACUCAUACAGGUCAGAGGGAAACAUACAGUCACACUGAUACUCAUACAGGUCAGAGGGAAACAUACAGUCACACUGAUACUCAUACAGGUCAGAGGGAAAUACACAGUCACACUGAUACUCAUACAGGUCAGAGGGAAACAUACAGUCACACUGAUACUCAUACAGGUCAUAAGAAAACACACAGUCAGGCUCUGAUAGUCAUGCAGGUCAGAGGGAAACACACAGUCACACUGAUACUCAUACAGGUCAGAGGGAAACACACAGUCAGACACUGAUACUCAUACAGGUCAGAGGAAAACACACAGUCACACUGAUACUCAUACAGGUCAGAGGGAAACACACAGUCACACUGAUAUUCAUACAGGUCAGAGGAAAACACACAGUCACACUGAUACUCAUAUAGGUCAGAGGAAAAUACACAGUCAGACACUGAUACUCAUACAGGUCAGAGGGAAACACACAGUCAGACACUGAUACUCAUACAGGUCAGAGGAAAACACACAGUCAGACACUGAUACUCAUACAGGUCAGAUGGAAACACACAGUCAGACACUGAUACUCAUACAGGUCAGAGGGAAACACUCAGUCAGACACUGAUACUCAUACAGGUCAGAGGGAAACACUCAGUCAGACACUGAUACUCAUACAGGUCAGAGGGAAACACACAGACACUGAUACUCAUACAGGUCAGAGGGAAACACUCAGUCAGACACUGAUACUCAUACAGGUCAGAGGGAAACACACAGUCAGACACUGAUACUCAUACAUGUCAGAGGGAAACACACAGUCAGACACUGACAUACAGGUCAGAGGAAAACACACAGUCACACUGAUACUCAUACAGGUCAGAGGGAAACACACAGUCAGACACUGAUACUCAUACAGGUCAGAGGAAAACACACAGUCACACUGAUACUCAUACAGGUCAGAGGGAAACACACAGUCACACUGAUACUCAUACAAGUCAGAGGGAAACACACAGUCACAUAGAUACUCAUACAGGUCAUAAGAAAACACACAGUCAGGCUCUGAUAGUCAUACAGGUCAGAGGGAAACACACAGUCAGACACUGAUACUCAUACAGGUUAGAGGGAAACAGUCAGACACUGAUACUCAUACAGGUCAGAGGGAAACACACAGUCAGACACUGAUACUCAUACAGGUCAGAGGAAAACACACAGUCACACUGAUACUCAUACAGGUCAGAGGAAAACACACAGUCACACUGAUACUCAUACAGGUCAGAGGAAAACACACAGUCACACUGAUACUCAUACAAGUCAGAGGGAAACACGCAGUCACACAGAUACUCAUACAGGUCAUAAGAAAACACACAGUCAGGCUCUGAUAGUCAUACAGGUCAGAGGGAAACACACAGUCAGACACUGAUACUCAUACAGGUUAGAGGGAAACACUCAGUCAGACACUGAUACUCAUACAGGUCAGAGGGAAACACACAGUUAGACACUGAUACUCAUACAGGUAUCACAACCUAAGGUAUUUUGUACUCAAUUCGGGAAAUUGGCUGUAGUAUAUUACAGGGCUGGAUGACAUGCGAUAUUAAUACCAACAUCACAUGUUAUGCACAUGCAAUUUUUACUACUCAUAUUAAAAUCAAGUUUUACUUACUUUUUUUGUAUGGACAUCAUAGCAAAGGGAGUUUAAGUUUUGCUAAAACAUUAUUACUCUGACAUAGAAAAAACCUA
Brienomyrus brachyistius is the source of this 2982-nucleotide long non-coding RNA. RefSeq lists it as uncharacterized. The transcript has 3 exons. NCBI's taxonomy places the organism in Eukaryota, Metazoa, Chordata, Actinopteri, Osteoglossiformes, Mormyridae. The record is from RefSeq and is a predicted model, not a curated record.